GACGAACGCUGGCGGCGUGCUUAACACAUGCCAGUCGAACGGAAAGGCCCUUCGGGGUACUCGAGUGGCGAACGGGUGAGUAACACGUGGGUGAUCUGCCCUGCACUUUGGGAUAAGCCUGGGAAACUGGGUCUAAUACCGGAUAGGACCACGGCAUUCAUGUGCUGUGGUGGAAAGCUUUUGCGGUGUGGGAUGGGCCCGCGGCCUAUCAGCUUGUUGGUGGGGUAAUGGCCUACCAAGGCGUCGACGGGUAGCCGGCCUGAGAGGGUGACCGGCCACACUGGGACUGAGAUACGGCCCAGACUCCUACGGGAGGCAGCAGUGGGGAAUAUUGCACAAUGGGCGCAAGCCUGAUGCAGCGACGCCGCGUGAGGGAUGACGGCCUUCGGGUUGUAAACCUCUUUCGCCAGGGACGAAGCGCAAGUGACGGUACCUGGAGAAGAAGGACCGGCCAACUACGUG
This 462-nucleotide ribosomal RNA is filed under the name uncultured bacterium. Its description in RNAcentral is "partial 16S ribosomal RNA". It matches the Rfam family "Bacterial small subunit ribosomal RNA", at positions 28 to 507 of the family's 1533-position model. The record is from RNAcentral.